This 7190-nucleotide long non-coding RNA is filed under the name Capsicum annuum. RNAcentral's name for it is "long non-coding RNA (CANN_LNC009750)". The record is from RNAcentral. Lineage: Eukaryota; Viridiplantae; Streptophyta; Magnoliopsida; Solanales; Solanaceae.
UUUUCUUUAAUUUAUUUAAAUAAUUAUAAAAAAUAAUUUUUAAAAAACCACAAAUUGAGCAGUCUUUAAAUAUUGUGCAGAAUAAACACCAAACUAAAAAAAUAUUGGUAUUUUUAUUUUUGAAAUCUGACAUUCACAGCGGCUGUAAGGUUCGCCGGCCAGAGAGGAAGAGGGAAAAAGGGGAGUGAUAAGCAGCAACGCUGGUUUUAAGUGUUCCCCGAUGUGGGAUUCAUCAGUGAGGGCUGUUAGAUGCCGAAAAAAGAGAAGAAAGGUGGGCGAUAGAUCUAAUGGUUGUCUGACGGUGAUGGCGGCGUUCGCAUUUAGUGCGCCAGUUGGUGGUUCCAACUGAUUUUGGGGUGAAGGCUGACUGGCUGCGGCGUGGAAGGGAAAAGGGAUUUUUUGGAGGUUUGACCAGGCAGCCCACUGGGUUGGUUACCGACGGAUUUCGCUGGUGGUAUUGGUGACGGGAAAAGAGGCAAACAAAGGUGCUAGUGGCUGGGGUGUUUGCCAGAUUCCAUGGUUGAACGACAACUCCGGAGAAACACUUCGCCGGAAAAAAUGGAAGAAACUAUUUGGCCACUUCUCUGUUCACUGAUUUUUCUCUUAAUUUUUCUCCCUCUGUUUACCCUCUCUCUCUUCUUUUCUCUCCAUUUUCUAUUUUUCAGUGAAGUGUUGGUGUGUGCAAUCUGUAGUGUAUUUGCGUUUUAGUGUGUUUACUCGUGUAUUUGCUGAGUUUAUUUUUAUCUCUCCAAUUUGUACAUCAGUACGUGAGUAUGUGCUGUUGUUUGUGCAGUGUACAUAUCAGUAUAUGUGAUAUAUGAAUUGGCAAAUUACUGUGUAAACAUUUUUUUUAUUUAUGUACAGAUGAAAAACUAAACGCUUUACUACGUAUUAUCAUUUAUUUUCACUGUUGUCAAUAUUCAUAAGAUACAUAUACUACAACAAACUCACAUAAUAACAAUUCAUCAAAUAACUAAAAAUAAUUUUUUGUUAAUUCAUAACAAAAACAGAGAGAAUAAAAAUACAAGAUUGAAUGAAAAAAGAAACCUGUGAUUGGUUGAACUGAACAAUAAAUUGAGAAAUAAUCGUCACCGAAAACUUUGAACAGAACUCCAACUUCAACUUUCUUCUUUUGUCUCUUUUGUCUGAUGUUUUUGUUCUGAUUUUCCUGAUAGUUGUUGUCUAAUACAGUAUGUAGGAAUAGAAUGUACAUAGUUUUUUUAGAUUCUAUUUUUAUUCCAAAAGAGGAUAUGAAAGAAAAUAAAAUAAAAACUCAAAGAGUGUACAAAGGAUGACACAACAUUUGAAUAGAAGAAUAAAAUGCCUUCGUCAUAUCAAUCUUUAAAAAUACAAGAACAUAACAUGUAAUCUGAGGGUGAAACAUGAGAUCAUACAUAUCUUUUCAACAUUAACCUUCACUAAGAACGUGCACAUGUAUCACUUUUUUCAUGCUUAUGAAACAUACAAGUCCAUUUGUGUUGUACUUUCUCCAUACGGAUAACUUAUGUCUCUUUGGGAGCUAACUUUCUUUCAAUUUUCCUGACAAUGGAGAUUAUAUAUACUCUGACUGGUCCCAUUAAAAAUGCUUUAAUUAGAUCUUCUAAUUGAUGAUCAAGUUAUUUUUGAUUUGCAAAGUGAUUGCCACAGUUUCAUCUAUAUUGGGAUUUGACUUAUUCUCAAACUAUUUGAAAUUUUUUGCUUAUAUCUUCAAAUGCUUCCUCUUCACCGUAUUCAACCUCUUUAUUCAUUAUUUCAUAAUUAGAUUGGGUUUUAAAAUCUGAUUGAUAAUUCUUCAUGCAUGUCAUAUCAUUAGAAUUGACAUAGAAAGAACUGUAUAAUAGAAAAUAAAUAAGUAAAUAUUAGACACAAAAUAAAACAAAGGGAAAUUAUGUUUCAUUAAAAACAAAGAUAGACAAAGUUUUAACCUAAAUUACUAAGAUUAAAAAUUUGAAUUACAAACCCUAGAACGAUUCAAAUUGCAGAAAGACAAACAAACAAACUACCAAGACUCCUUCAUAGUAGGGAGAGGAGUGACCUCCAAAUUGUUAAGCUUGACAUCUUAGCCACUAGUUUGCAUAUCAGCAUGACUAGAAUUUCCACCACUGUCCAACACAUUUUCUUCAAAAUAUAAGUUCUGGAUCCCCAUGCUUAAUCAAUUGUUUCUCACGUAUUGUACAUUAUUGUGUAUUGGUGAAGGAUUUUGUGUGAUGCUCGUAGUGUCUAUAUUUUGCACUAUAUUCAAUUUUUCUUGAAUCAUCCUUUCUAUUUCACUUUUCAAAGCACUAAAAUACUCAAUACUUUGACCCUAAAUAUCAGAAUGAUAUGCACACCGUACAUAAGGAUAAAAAUUUCUUGAAUACGGAUCAGGAUUAUACUCAAGGAGGGGAGUGAUUAUGCUAGACUUUCUCAAUCUCUAGAAUAAACUGGCAUACGACUCCUCAAUUGGUGUAAAAUUAUUCUUUGCUUUCUCCUCUUUGCAAACUCCAGCCUCGAUUGAAACUUGGACUUAGAAAUUCCUUGAUAAAUAUGUAGGGGUCGAGGAUGAUGUUGGGGAUCGGUGCAUGCCAUUGUAGAUAAGAAAAUGAAUGAGCAUACAAUUGUGCAUUGUUCAAAGGAUACUGAGGAAGUGGAACGAAAUAUCUUGGAUUUUGCAAAGAGUAACCUUGUUGUAGGUGAGUAUGUGAAUUUGAUGUACAAGCUCAGAAUUGAGACUGACAAUAUUUCUAAGUUGGACCUCUUGAGUUCUGCUUUGCCCUUGUAAUGACAAUAGGUAUGUUUUCCUUCUUCUUCUCUCCAGUCUCUCUCAACUGAUGGCAAUAUCAUCCAAAGUAUUUUAUAGAAUCCUCGUACAUGCCCCAAUCCUUAUAUGUAACAUCUUCAUAAUUCACAAUUCCCAGAAAACUUUUCAUAGACUUUUCUGUGCUCUUUAUUUUCCUAGCCAUUUUCUCUUGUUCUUCUACCAUGUAAAACUUCUUAGUAAGAAAUUUUGAUGGUCCAAUUAACAUAGAUGUGGGCUCUAUAGUAUAAUAGUAAUCAUCAUGAGUGUUGAACAUAGACUUACUAGUAGAUUAGGGAGGCACAAUCACCAGAUCAAAAGCCAAGGUGGAAGCCUUAGUAGAGGUUUGGGCAAUAGAAGUAGAGACUGUAGGUGGUGCUAUCAAUAUGGUAUAUUUAUACUGAAGAUCUAGAGAAUAAGUGGUGGAAACAUUGGGAUCCUUUUGGCUUGGAGUAGAUUCUGAGGCAUGUUGUGGCACAGAACCAACUGUAGAAAACUGACCUUGCAAUUUUGGUGAAAGACUCAAGGUAUUUGUACGGUCAAUAGUGGAAAAUAGAGGAGGAGGUAUCCCACUGGCCCAAGCUCGAUACAUUUCCAGUAUUUUUUUGCCUAAAACUCACAAUCUCUUGCUUUAAAAUCUCAUUUUCCUGACUCUUUGUCUGAUCUAUGAUGUCACUCUCCAUAUUCUUGCUGGACAUGACUCUCUUUCCUGGACUUGCUAUAAUAUGGAGGACCAGUCAAAAUGCCACAAACCACCCACCUUACUAUUGUGCAAGAAUUAACAAAUAUGUUAGAAUGCAACACUUUUUCAAAACCUCCUUUUUUUUUAUCUUCUUUUUGAAAAAAUCAUCGAAUCCUAGAAAGGCGCCUAUGUAUCUCACCAAGGUGAGAAUCAGACGUGCGUAGUUCGUGAAGCUGGAGAUAUGAAGAAAAAUAUUUUUCUUUUAAUUUGAGAAAUGAUAAAGAUUUUUAUUUUUUUGAAUUUAUUAAUAAUGAUAAAACACAUUUUUAUUUUUGAAAAUAAAUUAGUUUAUUUUUAUAUACAGAUAUAAAAAAACUCUAUUUUUUAUUUGUUUAGAAGGAAACACAAAUAUAUUUUUUUCUUUAAAAUCACCAAAACCAUGAAGGACUUGCCUACGUAUCUCAUCAAUGUGAGAAUCGGGUGAGCAUAGUUCUUGAAGCUGGAGAUAUGAAGAAACAUAUUUUUCUUUUAAUUUGAGAAAUGAGAAAGAUUUCUUUUUUUUUUUUUUAAUAAUGAUAAAACACAUUUUUAUUUCUGAAAAUAAAUUAAUUUAUUUUUUUACAUACAGAUAAAAAAACUCUAUUCUUUAUUUGUUUAGAAGGAAACACAAACAUAUAUUUAUUUUUCUUUAAAAUCACCGAAUCCAUGAAGGACUGCCUACGUUUCUCAUCAAUGUGAGAAUCAGGUAUGCGUAGUUCUUGAAAUAUAUGUCGUACAAAACUUAGCCUCAAGACCUUUAAAGGUUCAAGGCAGUUAAGAUUUAUAUUUAUUUUUUAUUUUAUAAAAACUUAGCCUCAUUAUCCCUAAAGAUUCAGGGCUAUUAAGAUAUAUAUAAAAAUUAGAUUUUACAAUUAGAAAAAUAAUUAUGAAAGUAAUCCUAUUUUCAAAAUAUUUCCUAAUAAUUCUAUGAACAAUUUUUCAAAAGAUAGGGCCGUAUUGUGAGAAGGACUUCCUACGUAUCCCACUAAGAUGUGAGAAUCAGACCCUCGUAGUUGAUGAAGACCGUAAAAACUAUGUUACUAUACAUUUAAAAUUUAUCUAUCUUUUAAAAAUAAAAUUUUUCUUUGAAAAAUGAUUCACUAAAUAUAAUCUCUUGAAUUUCAAAGUUGCCUAAAAUCCGGUCAACAAUCAAAUAGCUGCUGCCACCCAUGUUUUCCUCCUUUCCCGUCACCAGCACCACUGGUGAAACCUGCAGGUAACCAACCCAGUGGGCUGCCGGGUCAAACUGCCAGAAAACCUAUUUUUCCCUUCCACGCCGUCGCCAGUUGACCUUUACCCCAAACCAGUUGGCACCACCAACUGGCACACCAAGCACCGACGCCGCCAUCACCGGUGGACAACCAUUAGAUCUGUCGUUCCUCUUUCUUUCCUCUUUACAGCAUCUAACAGCCCUCACCAGCGAAUCCCACGUCGAGAAAUGCUUAAAACCAACGUUGUUGCUUACCAUUCCUCUUUUUUCCCUCUUCGUCCUUCCCCUCCCUCUCCGGUUGGAGAACCUCACAGCCGCUGUGAAUGCCGGAUUUUGAAAAUAAAAAGACCAGCAUUUUUUAGUUUGGUGUUUAUUCUGCACAAUAUUUAAAGACUUCUUAAUUUGUGGUUGUUUAAAAAUUAUUUUUUUUAUCAUUAUUUAAAUAUAUUAAUGAAAAGAAUUUUUUUAAGUGAUUUUUGGAUUUGUAUUAAUUUAAGAAACUAAAUCGGGGUCAUAGUAAAUUUUAGAAUAAUAAGAGUAGUUUUGUGUAUUUUUUUAUUUUAUUAUGUUUAUUAUUAUUUUUCUAAUUAUUUGAUAAAAUUAAUCAAUCACUUUGAACAAUUUUUUUUUAGAGUAAAUAGUAUUUAGAACGGAUAAAUUAUUAUGAUUUUAUAAAAGAAAAAUCAAUGUCUUUAACGCUAAAUAAAUUUUUAUACGCGUUCUAAAUAUUCGUCUCAAUUAAGAAUGCGGCGUAUACAUCUUUUUGAGACAUUCAAAAUUUCAAGGAUGCAAUAAUGUACCUUGACAAAUAUUUUCUAAAACUAACCUUCACUGAUUUAUUUAAUAUAAGAUAAUAGACAAUUCUUAGUAUAAUAAAAAUGAGCAAUUUGAGGUCUUAACAUAAUUUAUCAAAAUAGUUUAAGUCAAGUAUAAGUCGAUAAAAGCGGCCGUGCUAGAACCACAGAACUCGAGGGGUGCCUCACACCUUUAACUCGGUUAACAGAAUUCCUUACCCGAUCUUCUAUUUAUGCAGACCAAAUAAGAGUCAUUUCUUUUUUAUUAGGGAUUCAAAAAGGUGACUUGGAACACCAUAACACAAUUCCAAGUGACAACUCUGUAAUUAAAAUAAUUCCUAUUCAAUAUCAUCACUUUAAUUGGGAAAACCCUUCGACUUUGACCCUCAGGCAAAAAAAGUGUGUGACAUCUCUACCGUGGUUCUAGCACGUUCGCUUUUAUUGACUUUUCUUGAUCUAAACUAUUUUGAAUAGAUUAUGUUAAGGCCUAAAUUCGAUCAUUUUUAUUGUACUAAAAAUAUCUGUCUACAUCUUUUAUAUUAAGCAAAUAGAUGUAAGUUAAUCUUAGAAAAAUAUUUGCCAAGGUGCAUUUAUUCCAUCCUUCAAUUUUAAAAUAUCUCAGAAAGAUGUGUGCGCCACAUUCUUAAUUGAGAUGAAUAUUUUAAAUAUGCCUAAAAUUUGCCUAAAACGUUAAAACAUUAAUUUAUUUUUUGUAGCAAAUUGUAACAAUUUAUCUGUUCAAAAAGCUAUUUAACCUUAACAAAAUUCUAAGUAAAAUCCAAUUUAGGUAAUUAAUUCAAUAAAUAAUUAAAUUUUAUUAAUAAUAAUAAAAUAAUAAAAUAAUAAAAUAAUAAAAUAAACAAAUUAAUAAAUAAAUAAAAUGAUAAAAAAUAUAAAUAUAAAUAAAGUUACCACUCAAUUUUUAAAAAGCAAAAAAAAUAUUCCAUUUAUUAUUUUUUUAAACAGAUGUAGCAUAAAUUAGUAUGUGCGUAAUUUUUGGGCUUGUUGACCGGAGAGGAGGGAGCGACAACCAUGGAGGCUUCACCGAAAAAGGGAAAAAGAAGAGAAAGGAAAAAAAGGUUUGGUUUGGUGCAAUUUCCGAUGUGGGAUCACCAGUUGAAGGGGUGGUUUGGUCGGCGUUUUCGCCGUUGGAGGUGUCGCCGGCGAUGGUUUGGCGGACAGAAAGUGUUAAAAGGGAAGAGAUGGGGUAAGAGGCGGCGACAAAUCUUGUUUUGGGGGUUGUUACCGGCAGUGACAUGAUCGGAACAACCCGCUGAGUUGUUGUUGCGCUCUGUCGGAAAUCCAGCAAACUCGGACAACAAUAGCAAUUAUUUGUUCGCCGGUGUAGACGUUAUUUCUGGCGAAAUUUCGCCACAAAAAUAUGGACCAAGGCUGUCCUUCCCCUUUUUUUAUCUAAUUUUUACUCACUUGUGCUGCUAACUCGUUUUUCUUACUUCUUUUUUUCUUUUAAAAGUUUUCUAUAAUAUUUUAAUAUCUACAUAUGUCUAUUACUGCUAAUGGAGUGCAUGAGUUUUAGUCAAUAGGAGAAAUGAAAGUUUGUUAGUGUGUGAAUAAAAUUGUAUGAUUGUGCAGAUAUGUAUAAAUGGUGUGUAUAUUUAUACUCAGUUUUAAUCAUGCACAGAUGAAAACUAAAACUAAAUGUUUGACUGCGUACUUAUCAAUUUUUCU